AACGCACGAGACCUGCGGACCUGCGGAAGGAUCAUUACCGAGUUCGUGCCCCGCAGCGGGGUAGAUCUCCCACCCUUGUGUAUCUUCGUACCGUUCUGUUGCUUUGGCAGGCCGCUCAGGCUUCGGCUCGACCACCGGCUCCCCCAGGGGGGCGGGUGUGCGCCUGCCAGAGGACCCCCCAACUCUUGUUUGUCAGUGUCGUCUGAGUACUAUAACCAAUCGUUAAAACUUUUAACAAUG
Molecule: unclassified non-coding RNA, 240 nt
Filed under: soil metagenome
Description: partial contains 5.8S ribosomal RNA, internal transcribed spacer 2, and large subunit ribosomal RNA
Source: RNAcentral